AAAGUCUCAGAAAGUACAGUCUGUGCUGGGCCUUCUUAAUCACCGUGGCAGUCUGAACAUCCCAGGUCAAGUCCUCUUUAAUCAUAACAUCCAGAAACUUAAAACUGGUCACCUGCUCUACUCGAUCCCCAUUUAUAACCAAGGGCUGAAUUUCUGAGCUUUU
This is a long non-coding RNA of Sphaerodactylus townsendi, 163 nucleotides long. RefSeq lists it as uncharacterized. The transcript is spliced from 3 exons. NCBI's taxonomy places the organism in Eukaryota, Metazoa, Chordata, Lepidosauria, Squamata, Sphaerodactylidae. The record is from RefSeq and is a predicted model, not a curated record.